ACGCACGCCGGCGGCGUGCUUAACCCCUGCCAGUCGCACGGAAAGGCCCUGCUUUUGUGGGGUGCUCGAGUGGCGAACGGGUGAGUAACACGUGAGUAACCUGCCCUUGACUUUGGGAUAACUUCAGGAAACUGGGGCUAAUACCGGAUAGGAGCUCCUGCUGCAUGGUGGGGGUUGGAAAGUUUCGGCGGUUGGGGAUGGACUCGCGGCUUAUCAGCUUGUUGGUGGGGUAGUGGCUUACCAAGGCUUUGACGGGUAGCCGGCCUGAGAGGGUGACCGGCCACAUUGGGACUGAGAUACGGCCCAGACUCCUACGGGAGGCAGCAGUGGGGAAUAUUGCACAAUGGGCGGAAGCCUGAUGCAGCAACGCCGCGUGCGGGAUGACGGCCUUCGGGUUGUAAACCGCUUUCGCCUGUGACGAAGCGUGAGUGACGGUAAUGGGUAAAGAAGCACCGGCUAACUACGUG
Molecule: ribosomal RNA, 467 nt
Filed under: uncultured bacterium
Lineage: Bacteria
Description: partial 16S ribosomal RNA
Rfam family: Bacterial small subunit ribosomal RNA
Source: RNAcentral